This 292-nucleotide ribosomal RNA is filed under the name uncultured Delftia sp. RNAcentral describes it as "partial 16S ribosomal RNA". It matches the Rfam family "Bacterial small subunit ribosomal RNA", at positions 505 to 796 of the family's 1533-position model. The record is from RNAcentral. Lineage: Bacteria; Pseudomonadati; Pseudomonadota; Betaproteobacteria; Burkholderiales; Comamonadaceae.
GUGUCAGCCGCCGCGGUAAUACGUAGGGUGCGAGCGUUAAUCGGAAUUACUGGGCGUAAAGCGUGCGCAGGCGGUUAUGUAAGACAAAUGUGAAAUCCCCGGGCUCAACCUGGGAACUGCAUUUGUGACUGCAUGGCUAGAGUACGGUAGAGGGGGAUGGAAUUCCGCGUGUAGCAGUGAAAUGCGUAGAUAUGCGGAGGAACACCGAUGGCGAAGGCAAUCCCCUGGACCUGUACUGACGCUCAUGCACGAAAGCGUGGGGAGCAAACAGGAUUAGAAACCCUCGUAGUCC